Small nucleolar RNA from Myotis lucifugus (little brown bat), 127 nucleotides. Its record names the gene SNORA71. It matches the Rfam family "Small nucleolar RNA SNORA71". From Rfam's summary of the family: The members of this family belong to the H/ACA class of snoRNAs which bind a number of proteins (including dyskerin, Gar1p and Nop10p) to form snoRNP complexes. This class of snoRNAs are thought to guide the sites of modification of uridines to pseudouridines by forming direct base pairing interactions with substrate RNAs. This family includes U71 (SNORA71), ACA39 (SNORA39) and ACA60 (SNORA60). The record is from Ensembl. NCBI's taxonomy places the organism in Eukaryota, Metazoa, Chordata, Mammalia, Chiroptera, Vespertilionidae.
CCUUCUAGUGCAGGAGACAGUUGGAUUAUAAAAAGAAUGAAAAUUGCAGGGAGAGGAACUGCGAAAGCAUUUCCCUGUGUUUGGAGGGUCCACCCAUGUCCCUUUCAAACCCUGGUGCUUUCGGACA